Molecule: long non-coding RNA, 773 nt
Organism: Rosa rugosa (rugosa rose)
Lineage: Eukaryota; Viridiplantae; Streptophyta; Magnoliopsida; Rosales; Rosaceae
Exons: 4
Source: RefSeq, a predicted model, not a curated record
UUGACGAGGUACCAGAUACGGAAUGAGUACGGCUUGGCCGAUCCGGAGCUCUACAAAGCCGUGGAUAGAGAUGAUCCAGAGGCCUUACUGGAAGGUGUCGCCAUGCUCGGACUCGUAGGCGUCUUGCGCCAGCUCGGCGACCUUGCAGAGUGUUUCAACAAUAGGAGCUAUUAUUAUCACUGCUUCUUACCAAGUUGCUUGCUGGCUAGCUUGUUCCAGUUGAUGCUGCUGUAAGUUCAAACAUGAUGGAUAAUCAGUGCGGGGUUACAACAAUUGCAGGGGGGAAAUUGGACCAAGUGAAGAUGAGAGCAUAUAACUUUUGCUCAUACUAAUUUGAUGGUGUGAGUAUGCUCGCUAUGAAUAUAGGGAGAAGUGGAAAACCUAUCUUUAAAAAGCACAUUUCUGGCCAAGUUUGUCGUGGUGGUUUUGUUCUAAAAACAAUGAUCCAGGUUUGAAGGCUGCUUAUAAACUGGACAAUCAUGUGGAAGAUGGAGCAGUGACGAAAGCUUUUGAAGUGAUAGAGAGAAAUUUGUUUAGCUAGAAGUUGUACUGAGGCUAGAAGUUGGUCUUUUUUGGGUUGGCCUUAAUUGCAGUUCUCCUAUAGAUGUGAUUAUGUGACAUUUUUAGGUACAUUUCUGGAUGUAUUUUGCUAUAAGAGUUUCAAAGAUGUGAUCCCUUAUUUUGUGGAUACAAUUAGCAUUAUCGGAUCCAUUUAGAUUGCUAUGGGAUUAUAACAGCUUUCUAUUAUGAUUAAAUUACUAUUCUUUUGGUCA